Molecule: ribosomal RNA, 620 nt
Filed under: uncultured archaeon
Lineage: Archaea
Description: bacterial SSU rRNA
Rfam family: Archaeal small subunit ribosomal RNA
Source: RNAcentral
UCCGGUUGAUCCUGCCAGAGGCCGCUGCUAUCCGGCUGGGACUAAGCCACGCUAGUCUAGGGGCUUGUACCCCUUCGGGGGUGCAAGCACCGGCGGACGGCUCAGUAACACGUGGACAACCUGCCCUCGGGUGGGGGAUAACCCCGGGAAACUGGGGCUAAUCCCCCAUAGGUGAUGGGUGCUGGAAUGCCCCAUCUCCGAAAGCGCUCAGCGCCCGAGGAUGGGUCUGCGGCGGAUUAGGUAGUUGGUGGGGUAACGGCCCACCAAGCCUAAGAUCCGUACGGGCUGUGGGAGCAGGAGCCCGGAGAUGGACCCUGAGACAAGGGUCCAGGCCCUACGGGGCGCAGCAGGCGCGAAACCUCCGCAAUGCGGGAAACCGCGACGGGGUUAGCCGGAGUGCCCGUGCAUUGCACGGGCUGUCGGGGUGCCUAAACAGCACCCCAUAGCAAGGGCCGGGCAAGGCCGGUGGCAGCCGCCGCGGUAAGACCGGCGGCCCGAGUGGCGGCCACUCUUAUUGGGCCUAAAGCGUCCGUAGCCGGCCCAGUAAGUCCCCCGGGAAAUCUGGUCGCUUAACGAUCAAACUUCCGGGGGAUACUGCUGGGCUAGGGACCGGGAGAGGC